GUGCAGCAGGCGAGAAUUUUUCUCAAUGGGGGAAACCCUGAAGGAGCGACGCCGCGUGGAGGAUGAAGGCUUUCGGGUUGUAAACUCCUGUCAUUUGAGAACAAGUGGCCGAACGUAACUGCUUCGGCCUUGAUAGUAUCAGAAGAGGAAGGGACGGCUAACUCUGUGCCAGCAGCCGCGGUAAUACAGAGGUCUCAAGCGUUGUUCGGAUUCAUUGGGCGUAAAGGGUGCGUAGGUGGCGCCGUAAGUCGGGUGUGGAAAUUUCGGAGCUUAACUCCGAAACUGCAUUCGAUACUGCGGUGCUUGAGGACUGGAGAGGAGACUGGAAUUUACGGUGUAGCAGUGAAAUGCGUAGAGAUCGUAAGGAAGACCAGUGGCGAAGGCGGGUCUCUGGACAGUUCCUGACACUGAGGCACGAAGGCCAGGGAGCAAACGGGAUUAGAUACCCUGUAGU
This 454-nucleotide ribosomal RNA is filed under the name uncultured organism. Its description in RNAcentral is "bacterial SSU rRNA". It matches the Rfam family "Bacterial small subunit ribosomal RNA", at positions 346 to 794 of the family's 1533-position model. The record is from RNAcentral.